UCAUAGAAUUUCUUUAAAUUCAUGAUGUCGUAGGGGAAAAUAAUGAUAUUACCUUACUAUGAGUGUCGUCCAAAUCUGGUGCCAGAAGACUCGGUAAGACCAGAGACGCAAACGUUAAUCAUCCUAAACAGGCGUAAAGGGUUUGUAGGCAGCUCCCAUAAGAUUAACUAUUUAGUUAAUUUGAUUGAGAGCUAGAAUCAAAAAGAGGUUAUAGUGUAUAACGCCUAGAGGAGGGCUGAUAUCCUUAGAUCCUAGGCAGAAUACUCAAGGCGAAGGCCACUCUCCACUAAUGAUUGACGCUGAGAAACGAAGGUUAGGGUAGGAAAUAGGAUUAGAUACCCCGGUACUCCUUUCUGUAAACGAUGAAUGGUAGUCAUUAGUAUCAAUUAAAAUUACUAGAGACGAAGUUAACACAGUAACCAUUCCGCCUUGUGAGUACUACUGCAAAGUAGAAAACAAAAAAAUUAGUCGGUCUCGAAGCAAACGGAGUGAAGCAUGUUAUUUA
RNAcentral lists this ribosomal RNA (505 nucleotides) under Amauroderma laccatostipitatum. RNAcentral describes it as "SSU rRNA". It matches the Rfam family "Bacterial small subunit ribosomal RNA", at positions 406 to 948 of the family's 1533-position model. Lineage: Eukaryota; Fungi; Basidiomycota; Agaricomycetes; Polyporales; Polyporaceae. The record is from RNAcentral.